UAGGGAAUCUUCCGCAAUGGACGCAAGUCUGACGGAGCAACGCCGCGUGAGUGAAGAAGGAUUUCGGUUCGUAAAACUCUGUUGUUAGAGAAGAACAGCGCAUAGAGUAACUGUUAUGCGUGUGACGGUAUCUAACCAGAAAGCCACGGCUAACUACGUGCCAGCAGCCGCGGUAAUACGUAGGUGGCAAGCGUUGUCCGGAUUUAUUGGGCGUAAAGCGAGCGCAGGCGGUCAAUUAAGUCUGAUGUGAAAGCCCCCGGCUCAACCGGGGAGCGUCAUUGGAAACUGGUUGACUUGAGUGCAGAAGAGGAGAGUGGAAUUCCAUGUGUAGCGGUGAAAUGCGUAGAUAUAUGGAGGAACACCAGUGGCGAAGGCGACUCUCUGGUCUGUAACUGACGCUGAGGCUCGAAAGCGUGGGUAGCAAACAGG
This 429-nucleotide ribosomal RNA is filed under the name Bacteroidota bacterium. Its description in RNAcentral is "Bacteroidetes bacterium partial 16S ribosomal RNA". It matches the Rfam family "Bacterial small subunit ribosomal RNA", at positions 355 to 776 of the family's 1533-position model. Lineage: Bacteria; Pseudomonadati; Bacteroidota. The record is from RNAcentral.